RNAcentral lists this long non-coding RNA (6281 nucleotides) under Equus caballus (horse). RNAcentral's name for it is "lncRNA (ENSECAG00000048923.1)". Lineage: Eukaryota; Metazoa; Chordata; Mammalia; Perissodactyla; Equidae. The record is from RNAcentral.
GGGUACUGUCAGCAUCCUGCUUACGUACCUUGCCUUGACCUACUUGUAUCUAGCUUCUUUGUGCCCAGAUUGGCAAGCUGAGUCAUAAUGACAGCAGUGAAUGCUAAAGAACUGGAUUCUGAGAACUCUGGAAUCCCUGAGGACAGCAGGAUGGAGAAUUCUUAUUAUGGGAUGGAGGGAAAUUAUUGCUAAGGGAACCCCAGUAAGAGUCAUCACACCCACAUUUCUGUCCACUACAUCCUUUCUGAGAUUCAAGUUAGAAGAUAACUCCUGGCUUUCCUGGGAGAAUGAGAAGGACCUCAGCCAGGGAGAUGCCUGCCUGGGGACACAGAGUGCAAAAGACCUCAAAAUAGAUCUUCUCAAGUUACCUGAAGGCAAAAGAGAUGCAGAGACACCAGUAAAAAAGCCUUCUCAAAUCAGAGUCCUUCCUAGGGCUCCAGGCAGGGCAAAGGACCAGAGUGUCCCCUCCCUGCCUUCUCGCCUACAGAAGGGCACUCAGCCAGGGACUGCUCAGAGGGGGUGAAUGGGAUGAUGGUGGUUCUCCAUGUUGGUUGGGCAGUAAUUCAACAAUUCAUUUAAAUUCAGUUAUUAAGCCACAGGUAGCAGGCAGUAACACAGACAUCAGGGAUUCAAAGACAAAAAACAUUAAAAUGCUUGCCUUUAAGACAAGGCAUCUGCUCUGACUUGGAGACCAGUGCAUAAACAUGAUCACAAGUUAGAGGAAGGUGAAGAAAUCAUAAUGAUGCUGCUCAUGGCAGAGGGAUUUGGGGGUUUAUCGAGCAAGUUGGAGGUUUUCAAGUUUUCUAGAAGCACAAUCCUUUGUUUUUCCAAACGAGGUCCUACACAGAACCUCACAGUUUUAGGAAUGAUCUUUCUAAAAUAUUGAUCUGACCACGUCACUCCUUGGCUUAAGGCAAGGGUCUACAAGAUCUUUCUAUAAAGGGCAAGAAAGUAUAUAUUUUAGAUUUUUCAGGCCAGACAGCCUCUGUUGAAACUACUCAGCUCUGUCCUUGCAGAGCUAAUGAAGCCGGACAGAAUAAAUAAAUGAACGGCCAUGGCUGUGUUCAAGAAAACUGCAUUUAUAAAAACAGGCGUAUUUGACCAAUGGGUUGUAGUUUGUUUACCUCUAGCACAGAGUUACUCAGAGGCUCCCCCCUCCUUCGCCUCAGACUCCAGACCUUUCCACAGUCUGAACCCCAGUGCCCAGUUUACCACUCUGUGCCUUCCUCCCACCGCAUCCUCUGCUCCAGCCAAAUGGAACUUUUCCAUGUAACCUGAAAACACCACGGCCCUUCAUAAAGCUAUGUCUUCCCAAUGUGAUGGUGUUAGGAGGUGGGGCCUUUGGGAAGUGAUCGAAUGACGAGGGUGGAGCUCUCAUGAAUGAGAUUAAUGCCUUUACAAAAGAGGCCCAAGAGAGCUCCCUCGUCCCUUCCACCCUGUGAGGAUCCAAUGAGAAGUCUGCAACCCAGAAGAGGGCCCUCGCCCGACCAUGCUGGCAUCCCGAACUUGUACUUCCAGCCUCUAGAACUGGUCCUAGAAAUUUCUCACCUAGAACUGGUGAGAAAGAAAUUUCUGUUGUUUAUAAGCCACCCAGUCUAUGAUAUUUUGUUAUGGCAACCCGAACAGUAUAAGACAUCCCUCAUCUCACUUUUUUUGGCAACCCCUGAUUAUUUUGAGAAGUUGUUUAUUCCUAUGCCCAUCUAUUCCAGCAGAGUCUGAGUUCCUCAAAGGCAGGGACUAUGUCUUCAUUCCCCUCUAGAUCCCAGCUCCCAAGACUAAGGAAUGUUUGAUGGAUAAAACAUACCUCAAAAAGUGGGAGGAAGUAGACUAAAGGGAAACAUAACUUUAUCCCUGUGUCUUGCUGCAUCAGAAUUGUCAUGGUCCAUUAUAAGGCGAUAUCGCCCCUUUAGAUAAAACCUGCAACUUCUAAUAUUUAGCCCCGGUGUUAGAGGCAGCUCUCAGCCAUCCUCUGAGAUUCUAUCACUAUUGCUCCUGCUUCCCACUCUAUUUUUUAUUUCAGGACUGUAAACCUACUUCCCAAAUUCUGUGUCUGCAAAAUCCCUCCUGGGAGCCUCCUUUCCAGAUUCCUCUUCUCUUCCUUCCUCCUCCAUCUGCUCUUUCUUUGUAAAUUUCACUACCAUUCCUCAACCCCUCAAUGCGUACAGAGUGGUGGAGGGUCAUUCCAGUGCUUUUCAUUGAGUAACUGGAAGUUUUGCCUAAAACCACUUAUUCAAUACAUAUUUUUUGAGCAUCUUCCAUGUAUUUAGGACACACCAGUAACCAAGGUAGAUGUACUUCAACCUCUCAAGAAGCUCAAGGUUUAUUGGAGAAGAAAGCAAGGCUGAGGAUUAGUAAGCGUUCCCGUAGAAAGCAGGGUCAUGGAGGCAGAAGCUAUAAACCAUACCUGGGAUGAUGCAGAGGCAGAAAGUUAGGUUAUUCUUCCUUUAUUAAGUGGUAUCUGAGGCAAAGGCUGGAGUGGGCAGAUUAAGUAGGAGUUAGCCAAGUGAGCAGGGACAAAGAGAGCACUGAGCAGGAGGACAGAAAGAGCAAAGACCUGAGAGUAAAAAAGAGGAUAAGUUCAGGGAAUGGAGAAUAAUUCUGUCUCAGAGAAAGCUAUAGCAUGUUCAAAGUUCAUGGCAAGUUUGAUCGGGGCCAACAUCACUAUCCCAGCAGUCGAAUCUGAUGAGUGGGACUCCCAACAGAAAUCUCAGGAAGAGGCAAUACUUGGAGCCAUUCAGAUGGAAGCCAUGUAAUUCCAGGAAGCCUGGAUCAGGGUAGGCUGGGCUACAACCCAGGUCCUAAGCCAAGAGCCAGCAGUUCAUGCAUUUAACAAAUAUGUAUGAGCCGCUGUUAGGUGGAGACAGCUGCAAUGGUGAGAUGGAUAGGCAGCUUUCAGAAGUUCAUCAAGCAGGCUGCAGGGGGUAAAGGGAGCUUGGAAUCAAGGUGUAAUACUGACAGGGGCCCCGAAGAGUCAAUCAGAAAGUAAGACAGAAUGAGGAAAAUAAAGAAGACAAAAGGAAAGCCCCCCAGCUGUGGGAAUCAUGUUGGCAAAACUCUAAUUCCAGAUGCCACUCACUGAUACAUUGGAACUCAUCACUAUUCUCUUCUGCCUGGCUUGGAUAUCGCUGCUUCUUGAAGUCAGUGUUGCUGAGCAUCAUGGCUGCUGUUAUCUCAGUCUAUAGCCAAAUGGCCCUGAGGAGUACAAUAGCUACUUGGCCCAGUUGAGGAAUCCCAAGCUCUGAAACAGUCUAGAGGCUAGCGUUCUUUAGGAUCAGUUUUGCCAGUGACGCUCCUCUUUCUUUCAACAUGGGGCUACAUCUAUCCUUUCAAUUGAAAAAAAGGCCAAAAAACACACCACCAUAGUAAAAUCCUUUUCAUGGAGAUUCCUUUCAGCUUUCUUCUUUAACCUUCAAUAUUCACUCCGCGAACACCUCACAGAGUCUCCUACUAUGCCUUUGGGGUCUUAGGUUAGAGUUCAGCCCUUAAUGAGCCUCCCCACACCGAGAACAGACAGCAAAGGCUGUCUGCCAGGGAGGAUUUACAUAUUCAGCAGCCCAGCUUCUCUUUCCUCUGCUCCGUUCAAGACAGAAGGGGCUGCAGAAGCCUUGAUCUCUGAGUGGUCUCUGGCCACAAGGUGGAGAGAUAAAACAGCUUUGCUGAGAACCCAAGGGAAGACUGAGCUGUGGCUGCCUGAGUCUUAUCAAAAGAAAAACGGUUACAGCACUUCUGUGGAUUUUCAAAAAAUAAAUAACACAGGAAAAAACUUGUAAGAAUAUGAAAUUAAAUUUGCCAAAUAUGCUGAGAGUUGGUCCUUGGAGAAACUUUAUCUCUACUGCAUAGUCAAACACAUCAACUUUGGGGGUGCCUGGAAAUGACUGUGUGGCAUAGAUUCAAUUUGUUCUUGUGUAGACAAUAUUAUCUGGCACCGGGAACAGGAAACUUCAGAACAGAUUUUGGUAAACACAAUUACAAAUUGUGAGGAAGGACUUCUGGGGGCUCUUCAUGGAUGUCACCAACAGGACCAGCUCAAAUCUCCCAACUGGUGGGACUUGUCGAGCAUCCUAGGAAGGAGUGAAGAGGAGACAGCAGCCAUCCUCUGGUGUCUUUGAUGGAUUGGCAUUUCUCAAAUUCAAGGCUGGAUAAUCGGUGGAAAAAAGCUGAAAUGUACUAAUGUGGCAUAUCCAUAAAGACCAGAAAGCCAGUUUUGUUUUCCCUAAAACAGAUUUUAGUCAUUUUGGGGAAUAACUUUUACUCACUUGUGUGUAUAAACACAUACAUGCUCACUUAUCCAAAACUGUAACAAUUCCAUUUGGAAGAAGGACAUGGCGUAGCCAUGAAGCCUCCGCCAAUUUCAGGCGAAUGUUAAAUACUGUUAAGGGGAGAGUAAUGUGGAUGUUUAAGGAAGCUGCCCUGUUGGGACAAGAAGGUAAGCCCGACCUACUGCCCCUUUAUCUUAGUUCACCACACCUUUCUCAGAUCCCAGGUACUGGCACCAGCAGAACGAGAGCAGCCACCAUUCCAUUUGCCAAAGCUAUGCCCUCAAUAGAUGCUGCAUUCCAGAUGACCACACAUCAUGAUUUAAGUCCUAUUUUACCACUAGGUGCUAUAGGACACUAGUUUUCUAUUGUCUAAUGGUGACUGGAGCUUCACUACCUUCAACCCAGUCAGGUUAUACAAGCUAUCUCAGGUUUCCCUCUUGGGGAGUCUAAUGCCUAUAACCAUUUCCGGUACCAAGUGUUGUCUCCAUCAAGACUUAGUUGCAGAUGACAGGGCUCCUUUAACCAUUUUUGAGAAAUAUAAAACAGGGAAUUAUUGGAGGAGCUAGAGGAGCAUGCUGUAGAAUUGGCCUCUGAGAUUUAUUUCUAGACUAACACUGCAGAAUUGGCUGCCAGAGGAACUAUUGCUUCUAUCGCAAGAAGGAUGCUGGGGGCCAGGAAGGCACUGCAGGGACCCUUGUUUCCAGGGUCAUACUGGGGCCGCAGGACCAAUACCAGCAACGAAUGCCUCCUAGGUUACCAUCUUCCCUGCCUAAUGAAGGUCUGAUUCAAGUCUUGGCAAGUGUGUCUGAUUGCAAAAUCAAAAUCACAUCCAAAAUCUUAACUUCAAGGGAGUCCAUUUUUAGUUUUCCAGUUUCUGCAGCACAAAAGAAAGAAUGCUUGAAGCAGGUGGCCAGCAGAUGUAGAGGCAGAAACCUACAGUAUUUACUUUGCCUUCACCAUGAGUUCCACCCAAGUUCUCAAAUUAUAAAUCAACUAGCCAAGUGUUCGUUGAGCUCUUUCUGUGCACAAAGUGCUUUAGAGGGUACAGAGAUGUUUGAGGUGUGUCUAAAUUAAGAUGUUCCCUGAUUUCGCAAAUUACCUGAGUUAAUGCAUUGGAAUGAAUGCCCCCCUUCCCCAUUUGCAUAUCUUACAUGAUACAAUCUUGCCUCAGAACUUUUCUGGAUCUCCCAUUAGGAAAGGCUUGUACUUCAUGAGCAUACCAUCACUUGCACACUUGGAAAUCAGGCUCAUAAUUUUACGUCAUACCUGUCAGAAUGCUAGCUCAUGUUUACUAUGUGCCAGCACUGUGCCAUGUUUUUUACGUACAUUAUCUUAUUUCAACUGCACAACAAAUUGCCCUGUGAAGUACGUGCUAUUACCAUUUCUAUCUUACUAUAAUAAAUAGAAGCUCAGAAAAGUUAAGUGACUUUCCCAAAGUCACACACAUUUUCUAAGUGUCAGGUAGCAGAUGGGAACUGAGGCUUUGUGGCUUCUAGGACGAUUCUCUCCCCAUAACAUUGCACUCCUUUUCUUAACUAAAAGAAUGGAGUUUUUCUUCUUGCCUCAGAGCCCACCACAUCUCUCAGGCUUGGAUCCCAGUGACUUUUGACUCUUUCCAGAUGGGGCAUCCUCUGUUACUACAGAAAAGAUCUCUUUGAGGUGGUUACUCUUACUGAAGAAAUUCAAGUGAAUAUGCCCUAGGAUCUGCAGCUAGUCCUAGGGAGAUGGAGCAGGAAUGUUUCCAAUAAAAAGUAUGGCUUUAUUAUUUCAAUAUACCCAAAGCCUCCCCAGGUAGCUCCCUGAGACAGGAUAAUAAUCAGCUAUGUAUAAAAAUCAUAGGCUGUAUAGUCAUUACACAUUUAUAAGGUGCCGUGUGCUUAUUUAAAAUUUAGGCACGUUACCUCAUUCAUUCACCUUGGUAAUAUUUGGCCCCUGUUUUUGCGUUAUGUAUAAUUUGCUCCCUCCUUCACGUUUUUGCUUCCUGAUACAGUGGAAUUUUGAGAUUGGACAACAUGAGCUCAG